UGGGGAAUAUUGGACAAUGGGCGCAAGCCUGAUCCAGCCAUGCCGCGUGUGUGAAGAAGGCCUUAGGGUUGUAAAGCACUUUCAGUGGGGAGGAAGGGUGUUGUGUUAAUAGCACAGCAUUUUGACGUUACCCACAGAAGAAGCACCGGCUAACUCCGUGCCAGCAGCCGCGGUAAUACGGAGGGUGCAAGCGUUAACCGGAAUUACUGGGCGUAAAGCACACGCAGGCGGCUUUUUAAGUCGGAUGUGAAAGCCCCGGGCUCAACCUGGGAAUUGCAUCUGAUACUGGGAAGCUAGAGUAUGUGAGAGGGGGGUAGAAUUCCAAGUGUAGCGGUGAAAUGCGUAGAGAUUUGGAGGAAUACCAGUGGCGAAGGCGGCCCCCUGGCACAAUACUGACGCUCAGGUGCGAAAGCGUGGGGAGCAAAACAGGAUUAGAUACCCUGGUAGUCCACGCCGUAAACGAUGUCUACUAGAUGUUCGUGGUCUUGUACCGUGAGUAUCGCAGCUAACGCAUCAAGUAGACCGCCUGGGGAGUACGGUCGCAAGAUUAAAACUCAAAGGAAUUGACGGGGGUCAUAGCUGUUUCC
This 587-nucleotide ribosomal RNA is filed under the name uncultured bacterium. Its description in RNAcentral is "partial 16S ribosomal RNA". It matches the Rfam family "Bacterial small subunit ribosomal RNA", at positions 355 to 933 of the family's 1533-position model. The record is from RNAcentral.